RNAcentral lists this ribosomal RNA (253 nucleotides) under uncultured bacterium. RNAcentral's name for it is "partial 16S ribosomal RNA". It matches the Rfam family "Bacterial small subunit ribosomal RNA", at positions 524 to 776 of the family's 1533-position model. The record is from RNAcentral.
UACGGAGGGUGCAAGCGUUAUCCGGAUUCACUGGGUUUAAAGUGUGCGUAGGUGGGCAGGUAAGUCAGUGGUGAAAUCUCCGGGCUUAACUCGGAAACUGCCAUUGAUACUAUCUGUCUUGAAUACCGUGGAGGUUAGCGGAAUAUGUCAUGUAGCGGUGAAAUGCUUAGAUAUGACAUAGAACACCAAUUGCGAAGGCAGCUGGCUACACGAAUAUUGACACUGAUGCACGAAAGCGUGGGGAUCAAACAGG